Molecule: long non-coding RNA, 1637 nt
Filed under: Triticum aestivum (bread wheat)
Lineage: Eukaryota; Viridiplantae; Streptophyta; Magnoliopsida; Poales; Poaceae
Description: long non-coding RNA (TAES_LNC000532)
Source: RNAcentral
GCGACCACGCAGGCUCGAGUUGUAGAUGGAGCCGGCACAUCGUCUGAAGUAGCUGCUGAGGUAACAUGAAAUGACAUUAGGGUUUUUUCUACUAUUUUUUUCUACACAAAGAAACCUAGGGUGUGGUAUUUUACACAGUUGCACAAGAACCAGCUAGGUGUUGGGUUGGCAUCCUGAACUUUUAUAGUUGCACAAGAAUGAAUUAGGAGUUGGUAUCCUCAACUUUUCAAAUAGUUGCACAACAAUAUCGUACGAGUUGGCAUCCUAGACUUUCAUAGAUGCACCAGAACCAUUUGGGAGUUGGCAGUCUCAACUUUUUAAAUAGUCCCACAACAAUAUCACAUGAGUUGGCAUCCACAACAAUUUUAGUUGCACAAGAACCAAUCGGUAGUUGGCAUGCCCAACCUUUUUUAAUAGUUUCACGGCAAUGCCACAUGAGUUGGCAUCUUCAACUUCUUUAGUUGCACAAGAACCAUUCAGUAGUUGGCAUCCUUAUGUGUACACAUGAAUCUGAUUUUCUAGGUUUGCAGAUGCACUUGAAUGUAGUUGCACUACUUAUUUGGUAGAUUAUAAUCUUUUAAAAUUCAAUAUUUUUCAUUUUGUGUUCAGACAUGCUAAAUUCAUGUUCAUCAGUUCAAAAUUCAUUACAUAGUUGCAGAAACCUGCAACAUGAAUUGCAUCCAGGAGUACUAACAAUUGCGCAAAAUAGAUGAUGAAGUUGUACAACAGCCAGCAUAAAGUGUUUUUGGAAUUCAGCAUACAGAAGUUUAGCUAAAACCAAAAUGAAUACGAAAUUAUAUGAGUUGGCAUCUUCUAAUUCUAUAUGAGUUGAAGAUGCCAACUACUGAAAUCCAAACACCACAAGUAGAUGGAUAUGGGAGUGUUGUCAAUUUGCACACUUGUACUUUAAGUUGCACAAACACAAGCGAGAGUUGGUUCAUUUCUUCUCAGGCUUCUUUUUUGUAUCACUAGCAAUGUGCCCGUGCGUUGCAACGGAUCCAAAGUAGAAUAGUACUUGUUCACAAACUUGAAAGAAAACACUCUUGUUUUGAUAUACAUAUAUACCACUAAAAAUAUAUUACGUUUCACUCAAAAUAUAUUUCUCAGGUUGUUUUGAUGAGGCGAGGGAGGGAUGUGUUUGCUUUCAAGAUAAUAAGGGGUUUCUUCAAAUUGGAGCAGAGAAGUGGGCUAUUGUUGCAAAAAUGCCACAACUUACCUCGCAGCCAUUAGAUGUAGAUCUAAUGGUCAGAAAUGACGGAUGGCAGACACACCAUCAUCACCAACUGAGUCUUUUAUAGGAGUAGAGAUAUGCAGGUUUUACAGGGUAUGGGGGUGGAUGAGCUGCUGUAGAUUUUUGCUCACAAUUCUAAGCUACAAAGUCAUGUAUACUAGUGUGUGGAAAGAUCAAAGGAAAAAACACAUGCAAACCAGAUUCUUGUCUAGUUGGUAGCUAUGUUUUCAUAUUACCUACAAUAUACUUUUCUUUUCUUUUCCUUUUUUGCUACAUAGACAUUGGUUCUUCUGAAUUAUGUGUGAAAUAAGACUCUCUAUGUCCUCUCUCCUAUAUGUUGGCACAUUUUCUGCGUUUUGUUGCACACAUUGUUGCAAAAGUUGGCUAGUCCCAUGAUGAAGUUGCA